UAGGGAAUCUUCGGCAAUGGACGGAAGUCUGACCGAGCAACGCCGCGUGUGUGAAGAAGGUUUUCGGAUCGUAAAGCUCUGUUGUUAGAGAAGAACGUUGGUAGGAGUGGAAAAUCUACCAAGUGACGGUAACUAACCAGAAAGGGACGGCUAACUACGUGCCAGCAGCCGCGGUAAUACGUAGGUCCCGAGCGUUGUCCGGAUUUAUUGGGCGUAAAGCGAGCGCAGGCGGUUCUUUAAGUCUGAAGUUAAAGGCAGUGGCUUACACAUUGUAUGCUUUGGAAACUGGAGGACUUGAGUGCAGAAGGGGAGUGUGGAAUUCCAUGUGUAGCGGUGAAGUGCGUAGAUAUAUGGAGGAACACCGGUGGCGAAAGCGGCUCUCUGGUCUGUAACUGACGCUGAGGCUCGAAAGCGUGGGGAGCAAACAGG
Molecule: ribosomal RNA, 429 nt
Filed under: Bacillota bacterium
Lineage: Bacteria; Bacillati; Bacillota
Description: Firmicutes bacterium partial 16S ribosomal RNA
Rfam family: Bacterial small subunit ribosomal RNA
Source: RNAcentral